GAAUAUUUCCAAGACUUACAUACACUGAUUACAUUUACUCAUGUAAGUAUAUAUUUUAAGUCAUGCUAAUGAAGAUUAAAUGUAUAAAGCUAUCUGAAUUUGUCUAAUAGCCAAACUGCUAAAAUGUGCCUAUUUUGAGACGGAUAGACAAUAAUGUAUAUGCUUGUUAAUUAAGACUGUUUUGACGAAUUCUGAAUGUUUUGUUUUUGUUUGAAUCCAUUUUUUUCACAUUUAAACCAUUAAAGCCAUUAAAGGGUAUAGAACUUAAAUAGUGUUAUUCCUAUAAAGGCAUAUUAAUCAAAGUUUUCAUUGUUUACUUGUAAUCAGAAAUGUUCUAUGAAUUUUCAAUUCAGGAUAAAAUUCGAGUUUCACGGCCAAGGCCAUGUGUAAACUUUAUACAAAUCUAUGGCUUCUAUUAAUUAUUUUUUAAGCAUACAAUAGGAAUUAUAAAAAACAGCCAUGAAAAAAUCCCAGAAUGAAACGAGCUAAAACAGUCAGUUUUUUUAUUUGAACUUUUAACGAUUAAGAAUAAUUUGCUUUCAGGAAUUUGCUUAAUUAAAAUAAAAUGGGAUAAGCAUAUAAAGUCAUUUUACAAAAUAAUGCAAAAAAUAAAACCUCUGAAGAAAAUAGAAAGAAAAACAGAAACAGAAAACUGCUGGUGAACGUUUCGUCCCCGAGGGUAUCACCAGCCCAGUAGUCAACACUUCGGUGUUGACAUGAAUAUCAAUAAAGUGGUCAUUUCUAUAAAUUUCCUGUUUACAAAACUUUGAAUUUUUCGAAAAACUAAGGAUUUUCUUAUCCCAGACAUAGAUUACCUUAGUCGUAUUUAGCUCAACCUUUUGGAAUUUUGGAUCCUCAAUGCUCUUCAACUUUGUACUUGUUUGGCUUUAUAAAUAUUUGAUAUGAGCGUCACUGAUGAGUCUUAUGUAGACAAAACGCGCGUCUGGCGUACUAAAUUAUAAUCCUGUUACCUUUGAUAACUAUUAUGAACAAUCAAGUAUUAGCGAUACUGUUUCAAAAACCAUGUUAUAGACAAAGAAAUAUUCAAAAGUAUGCAUACAUGUAAACCAUAUUUGUUUAUUCGUUAUAGAUUACACAAAAGAAGAAUGAAAGUCGCUGUGUGUUUAGUAGUCUUUAUGCUGUUAGUGGCCGUGGGAGGUAAGAUUGCAUUAGAUUUUCUUUUAAAAUGUUGAACUAGUAAAUCUUUUCAUUUUUAAAAGUGACACUUUCCAUUUUUAAAAGUGACACUUUCCAUUUGAGCGAUUCAUCUUUUAUAUUUUUCUUCCGUGUAAAUUAUAUUAUGAAGUAACUUUCAUUAAAGUUGUUUUCAAUGAGUUAUACAUCGUUAUUUUGUUUAUGAAAAAUGCGAAUGUCAUUUUAACAAAUAAUUUUGAUAUUAAUUGAUACAGUUGCAGAAACAUGAUGAAACGUAAAUAUUAAAAAAAACCCACAUAAUUUAAAAAAAUCCCGUAGUGUUAUUUACAAAAUUAUAAAACUUGGAUGAUAUCAAUGAUGGUUGUUUACUACUCCCAUUAUGUAUAGAUAAUUUUUGUAAUUUUAUUUUGAUACAUUUAGAAUUUUAAGAAAGUAAGGUUCCAACUACAACUGUCAAAUUGACCUGCUGUUGAUAUGGUGAUAAAUUAUGUAUCCCGCUUCAUAUGAAUGUGUCUAGUGAAGGUUAAUCCAAAGAACUUUUUGAACGCACUAUUUUAUGUUUACAUUUUACAUUUUAUAAUGUUAGUAGUGAAUUCAGGUAACCGCUGUUCGAAAUCGUUUGAGAGAAAACAAAUCCGGGUUAUCAACUUAAACUGAGAUAAACACAUCAACUAUAAAUGGAAAACAACGAAACAACAGAAACAGUGAAAUGCAACAAAAAAAAACCAAAACGACAAUGCAACUCACAUAGAGAGAAACUAUAAGAUUACAACAGUAACUGUCUAUUUUCCUGAUUUGGUACAGGACAUUUUAAGAAAUAACUAGUGGGUUGAAAUAGGUUUUGCGGCUAGCUUACCUCCCGCUUUUAUGAAUUUUUUUUAUCAUAACAUUAAAAUGAUAACAUUACAUGACAUGACUACAGUACAAAUAAAUACAAGAACAUUACGGACAGAGAAACACACAAAUAAACAAAUGUUUGCACCUGUCCUAAUUCAGGAAUCAGAUGUACAGUAGUUGUCGUUAGUUUAUGUAAUUUAUACGUGUUUCUCGUUUUUUUAUAUAGAUUUUCCUGUUUGAAUGGUUUUACACUAGUAAUUUUGGGGCCCUUUAUAGCUUGUUCGGUGUGAGCCAAGGCUCCGUGUUGAAGGCCGUGCAUUGACCUAUAAUGGUUUAUAUUUAUAAAUUGUUAUUUGAAUGGAGAGUUGUCUCAUACCACAUCUUCCUAUAUCCAUUUACAAUAGGUUAUUUCGACAUGCUAAUAGUUAUCAAAGGUACCAGGAUUAUGAUUGUUAAUACACCAUUCGUGCGUUUAGUUAGUCUACAUAAGACUCACCAAUGAAGCACCUAUCAAAAUAGAAGAAAGGUAAACAAGUACAAAGUUGAAGAGCACUGAUGACCUAAAAUUUCAAACAGGUGUACCAAAUACGGCUAAGGUUAACUAUGUCGGGGAAAAGAAAAUCCUUAGUAUUUAGAAUAAUUUGUACUUUUGAAAACAGUACAUUUAUAUAUAAAAAUGUCUAUAUAAUUGAUGUUCAUGUCAACACCGAACCACAGAAUAAAAACGAACACGUAAAACAACCUAGGGCAGCACAUAACACAACACAACACAAACAUGCAUUUUCACUCGAUGAUAACGCUACAAAAGUGACGUCACAGGUAAAUUUCUACAAAUUUGAUAUAGUUUAACCAUUACCAUGGAAGUAUUAAUUCAAUUCAGUGUAUUACGACAACUACAUAUCCCGGUUGCAUUAUUUUAUAUAAAAAAUACUUUACUUCCAGGGAACAUGGCGAAGGAAGACAUGCUUGAAGAUAAUGGCCUUUUUCACAAGUAAGUUGAAUACCAUGGUUUGAUCUUACUACGUAAUCGAGUAAAGGGUGCAAAGAGUAUGUUAAUGAUUGAACUUAUCGGUUGUAAUACUGUAAAUAGUCGAGUUAAUUUAGCAUAAAUUUGACCCUAACCUUGAAGUAAUUGCAACAUAAGAUUUUAAAGUUUUAAUCUAUAGCAUUAUAUCCCAAAUAUACACAGAAAAAAGUCCCAUAAAAUCUCUAACUUUGGGAAAAUUAAAAAAAAUCAUGAUUUUAAAAUUCCUACGGAGAUUUGCAUUGGUAAGGGAGAUAACUCUGAAAAAAAGGCAGAAAUAUCAAUAAAUAUUGAUACAAAAUUAAAACUGUUCAGCUUCUAUUCAACAGAUUGUAUUGAUUCUUCAUAUGUUAGCCGUUUUUAGAGUAUAACACACAACUCUUAAGGUUUUUUCAUAUCUAUUAUCAAGCUACAGCCUAUAUUUCAUAAAUCAAGUUGACCAUUUGUUAUAUUUUUCAGCAUGUCAAUAUAAAGAAUCUCAAAUUGGAUAAAACUAAUUAAGCAUAUAUUCUUCUUUUUGUGGUUUAGAAUUUUUUUAAACAAGGUAGAUGCUGAACAAAUAUAAUUAACAGAUAUAAACAAUAACAAAUAUUCACAUUAUAUUUUUCAAAAUGGUCUCAAAGCCAUAAGUUUGCAAUUUCUUUGAUGAUAAAUGUGCAAAAAAAAAUUAAGUAAAUACCCAUAACGCUUCGGUUUUGUACAUUUUAUGAGCAGAAAAUUAUAUAAUAUAGUCAAAUACGAACUUAUAACCCCUUCAAUGUGUCAUAUUUUACAUGAAUUUUUCGAAAAUCAAUCAAAAACUGACAAAAAAGUCUCAUCUUUGCGGAGUUAUCUCCCUUUUCAAUGUCAAUUUCCAUAAGAAAUUAAAAAUGCAAAAUUUGAGUUUUCCUCAAGUUAGAUUUAAUGAGAUUUUUUUCUGUGUAUAUUUAGGGCUUAAUGCUAUAGAUUAGAACUAAAACAAAUUCUGUUGCAAUUAGUUUGAGGUACAAACUUAGUUUGACUGGACUGAAAUGUUAUCAGACGGUAUUAAAUAUCAAAGAGAAGUUACAUUUAGACAAAAUCUGCACAUAAAGAUAAAAAUGAUAUACAUAAUGAUUUUCUUCAUCAAUUGAUUGUAGAUUACAAUAUCUUUCUUAACCAUACAAAAGGCAAAAUCAAAUUACAGAUGCAACCAUAGAGUAUAUCUUUGUCUCAUUGUUCAUGAUGUUAAUGGUUUUAUUGUUGUCCAUAUUUAUUUACAUCCACUUCAUCGAACAUUGUCAAUCAUAUUACAUCUUCGUAUUUUUAUAUUGACGUUUUUGUAGGAAUGAACAUGUUGCACAUGCUGCUUGGUCAAAUUCACUAAAAAAUGCAAACAACACGUUUCUAAUUUUAUGCGUCCGAAGCACUUUUCUGAAUUUACCAAGGAACGCUCACAGCAAAAUACUUGAAAACCAAGAACAAACAAGAACCGAAACAGUCGAAGAGCUAUAUAACCAAACAUCAAAAUUUGCUCGAAUUAAAACUUCAAUUUGGAGUAUGUAAAAGACGUGAUGAAAAAGAAACGAAGAAACAAAAUACCAUAAAAACAUGUCUUAGAAAAUGGAAUAUACCACAAUGGUAAAGAACACACAAAAGCAAAACCAAAGGCCCUUAAAAUAGAUAAAUAUAACGAACACCACUUAAAAUUGAGAUUAACUCUAGUGCUUCAGAUGGAGAUUCAAUGUUCAUGAGGCACACAUAGUGAAACAAUUUUGACCAAAGGAAUACUGAAACUCGACAGUCGAUGACAAAAUGACUAUAGCAUGUAUAGCAUGGCUAAAAAGAAACAGAAAUAGACAAAACAAAACAAAUAUGCAAAACAAAACAUAGAAAACUUAAAAACACGAACCCAACAAUAAAAAAGGGGUGAUAUAAAAUGCCCCGAAACGGAUAGCAGAUAUUGAACAACAUGUGACACUCGUGGUAUAAAUCAUAAUAAGUAACAUAUGGAUUUGUUAAUCAUUUGUUAAUCAUGUUAAUGUCACCAACAAAAAAUCAUAAUACAAAACAAGCUCUAAAUCAAUUCGGCAGUCAGUAAUUUUGUUCGUACACGAUUUAUUAAAAAGUUUCUGUAUGUUCUAAAAUAUUUCUUUUGAGAAUAUAGAAAAUAUAGAAACAUUAAGUUUCAAUUUCCCUCAUCCAAGUAGACAAAUUCUGAUACAUUUUUUAUACUUUUUAUUAACAUGUGGACAUAAUUUGCUAUCCGUACUAGCAAAUAAAGCGUUCCUGGAACACAUACUGAAAUAUUCGAUAUAUUAUUUUUACUUAUUGUUUUGUUUCAGGCUUGUAAAAAGACAGGCAUGUUGGGGAAGAACUUGCCGCAGACACAGUCAUUGCUGUAGGGGUUAUUACUGUUAUCGAAGGAGAUGUAGGCGCGACUGAACUCGACUAUAGCGGUCCUAGCAAAACAAACAGAGGCAAAUACAUGUUAUUUGUUCAAAUAAAGGACCAGUUAAAAGGAAUAUCAAUUAAAAUGAGAUUAAAAUUUGCUUUUCUGAAGAACG
RNAcentral lists this long non-coding RNA (5541 nucleotides) under Mytilus galloprovincialis (Mediterranean mussel). Lineage: Eukaryota; Metazoa; Mollusca; Bivalvia; Mytilida; Mytilidae. The record is from RNAcentral.